Macaca fascicularis (crab-eating macaque) is the source of this 148-nucleotide unclassified non-coding RNA. It matches the Rfam family "Metazoan signal recognition particle RNA". Rfam says of the family: The signal recognition particle (SRP) is a universally conserved ribonucleoprotein. It is involved in the co-translational targeting of proteins to membranes. NCBI's taxonomy places the organism in Eukaryota, Metazoa, Chordata, Mammalia, Primates, Cercopithecidae. The record is from Ensembl.
GCCAGGUGUGGUGGUGCGCGCCUGUAAUCCUAGCUACUCGGAAGGCUGAGGCAGGAGAAUCACUUGAACCCAGGAGGGAGAGGCUGCAGUGAGCCGAGAUGAUGCCACUGCACUCCAGCCUGGGCAACAGAGUGAGACCCUGUCUCAA